CUAGUUAGCUCAGUUGGUGGAGCGCUCCACUGGAAAUGGAGUGGUCCCUAGUUUGAUCCCAGAACCAG
This 68-nucleotide transfer RNA is filed under the name Ixodes scapularis (black-legged tick). It matches the Rfam family "tRNA". From Rfam's summary of the family: Transfer RNA (tRNA) molecules are approximately 80 nucleotides in length. Their secondary structure includes four short double-helical elements and three loops (D, anti-codon, and T loops). Further hydrogen bonds mediate the characteristic L-shaped molecular structure. tRNAs have two regions of fundamental functional importance: the anti-codon, which is responsible for specific mRNA codon recognition, and the 3' end, to which the tRNAs corresponding amino acid is attached (by aminoacyl-tRNA synthetases). tRNAs cope with the degeneracy of the genetic code in two manners: having more than one tRNA (with a specific anti-codon) for a particular amino acid; and 'wobble' base-pairing, i.e. permitting non-standard base-pairing at the 3rd anti-codon position. Lineage: Eukaryota; Metazoa; Arthropoda; Arachnida; Ixodida; Ixodidae. The record is from Rfam by way of RNAcentral.